RNAcentral lists this ribosomal RNA (289 nucleotides) under uncultured bacterium. RNAcentral describes it as "partial 16S ribosomal RNA". It matches the Rfam family "Bacterial small subunit ribosomal RNA", at positions 773 to 1060 of the family's 1533-position model. The record is from RNAcentral.
GUGGAUUAGAUACCCUGGUAGUCCUGGCCGUAAACGAUGAACACUAGGUGUCGGGGGAAUCGACCCCCUCGGUGUCGUAGCUAACGCGUUAAGUGUUCCGCCUGGGGAGUACGCACGCAAGUGUGAAACUCAAAGGAAUUGACGGGGGCCCGCACAAGCGGUGGAGUAUGUGGUUUAAUUCGAUGCAACGCGAAGAACCUUACCAGGGUUUGACAUCCUGCGAAUCCCUUGGAAACGAGGGAGUGCCUUCGGGAGCGCAGAGACAGGUGGUGCACGGUCGUCGUCAGCU